GAUGAACGCUGGCGGCGUGCCUAAUACAUGCAAGUCGAGCGAACGGACGAGAAGCUUGCUUUUCUGAUGUUAGCGGCGGACGGGUGAGUAACACGUGGAUAACCUACCUAUAAGACUGGGAUAACUUCGGGAAACCGGAGCUAAUACCGGAUAAUAUUUUGAACCGCAUGGUUCAAAAGUGAAAGACGGUCUUGCUGUCACUUAUAGAUGGAUCCGCGCUGCAUUAGCUAGUUGGUAAGGUAACGGCUUACCAAGGCAACGACGCAUAGCCGACCUGAGAGGGUGAUCGGCCACACUGGAACUGAGACACGGUCCAGACUCCUACGGGAGGCAGCAGUAGGGAAUCUUCCGCAAUGGGCGAAAGCCUGACGGAGCAACGCCGCGUGAGUGAUGAAGGUCUUCGGAUCGUAAAACUCUGCUAUUAGGGAAGAACAUAUGUGUAAGUAACUGUGCACAUCUUGACGGUACCUAAUCAGAAAGCCACGGCUAACUACGUG
Molecule: ribosomal RNA, 497 nt
Filed under: uncultured bacterium
Lineage: Bacteria
Description: partial 16S ribosomal RNA
Rfam family: Bacterial small subunit ribosomal RNA
Source: RNAcentral